This 71-nucleotide non-coding RNA is filed under the name Kitasatospora albolonga. Lineage: Bacteria; Bacillati; Actinomycetota; Actinomycetes; Kitasatosporales; Streptomycetaceae. The record is from RNAcentral.
GGGGAAGCCGGUGGGAAUCCGGCGCUGACCUGCAACCGUGUGCGGCCCCCGGGCCGCGAGUCGGACAGCCC